Callithrix jacchus (white-tufted-ear marmoset) is the source of this 309-nucleotide non-coding RNA. NCBI's taxonomy places the organism in Eukaryota, Metazoa, Chordata, Mammalia, Primates, Cebidae. The record is from RefSeq and is a predicted model, not a curated record.
UAUAAGCCGGCUGAGCCUUCCAGGCUUUACCUCACCUCUCGAAAAUCGAUUGAGCUGUUGUGGAGUUCUUAAAGACCCGUAACCGACUCAGGCAACAGAGCGUGCGACUACACUUCCCAGCUUGCCUCAUUGGGAGCUCCUGUGCGGCGGAAGCCUCACCAUCAGUGACACGUGAGGAAGCAAAGGAAGCUGUUGCUCCCUAGUCUCUUCCAACAAGUCAUUUACCACCUAUCAUGUGCCAGUUGAUGAGGAAAGAUUCAGUUGCAGUCUAAGGAUGAGACUGAAACAGGGACAGCAGGUGCUGGUGGG